CAAGGAUAUAACGGAGUAAUCAUCCACAAGCUUUCAGCCUUCGGCAUCUGCAGUUCUGAGGCAUUUGCAGACGCCUGAAAUUUAAUAUCAACGCUUGGCCUCGGAUCAUUCCAACCCCGAUGCUUUACACCUAACUUCACAACCAAGCUUUAGGCGACAAGCCCACAUCACACCAAUUCCUUGGGACCAAGUUGAGGUGCGCGGGACAGGUGUAUAGAAUAUAUAUUCAUACAAGGCAAAAAACACUGGGACAUUCUAUUCAUUUCGCUGCAUAAAUUGUUAUUGAUGCUAACUGUGGAGCACACUUAGCGGUCUCAUGGGCUGCUAGUGCUCUCUGCAGAGAAGAGAUUUGAUCGAGUUAUGCUGCGUAGUGAGGUGAACUG
This 383-nucleotide small RNA is filed under the name Histoplasma ohiense. RNAcentral describes it as "hypothetical lncRNA". The record is from RNAcentral. Lineage: Eukaryota; Fungi; Ascomycota; Eurotiomycetes; Onygenales; Ajellomycetaceae.